UAGUCAUAUGCUUGUCUCAAAGAUUAAGCCAUGCAUGUCUAAGUACAAGCCUCACUAAGGUGAAACCGCGAAUGGCUCAUUAAACCACACCUAAUCUACUGGAUAGUUAACGGUUACUUGGAUAACUGCGGUAAUUCUGGAGCUAAUACAUGCACAAAGCCCCGAACUUACGUGAGGGGCGCUUUUAUUAGAUCAAGACCAAACGGCUUCGGCUGUAUCCUUGGUGGCUCUGAAUAACUUUGGGCUGAUCGCAUGGCCUAGCGCCGGCGACAUAUCCUUCGAAGGUGUGCCCUAUCAACUGUCGACUGUGGCAUAGACGCCCACAGUGGUUUUGACGGGUAACGGGGAAUCAGGGUUCGAUUCCGGAGAGGGAGCCUUAAAAACGGCUACCACAUCUAAGGAAGGCAGCAGGCACGCAAAUUACCCAAUGACCGAAGGUCGAGGUAGUGACAAAAAAUAACGAUACGGGACUCAUCUGAGGCCCCGUAAUCGGAAUGAGUACACUUUAAAACCGUCCCCGAGGAUCUAGU
This 530-nucleotide ribosomal RNA is filed under the name uncultured eukaryote. Its description in RNAcentral is "SSU rRNA". It matches the Rfam family "Eukaryotic small subunit ribosomal RNA", at positions 21 to 549 of the family's 1831-position model. The record is from RNAcentral.